ACUUCCUCAAUUUGCACUCCACCUUACUUAGCAUACAGUGUUGGGUCUGUAAUUCCCUUAUCUGACUCUCAAGGAAAUGAAAAAGUAAUGCCUAGAUUGGACUAAACCUCGUUUAACUUCAAGACUGAACUUUCUCAAAGUUGAACCUUCGUCUUGUGAGGAACAGAAAGAUGAAGAACUCUGAAGCACCUCGACUUUCCACCUGUGAAGAUGUGUUCAAAUUUGCAACGUGUGGCCACAUCUAUGAGGUUGCUCCCUCUGGAGGAAACCAGAUGCCACUUUGUGAGGAUACUCAUAGUCCUGUGGAGGCAUAUCCUCCAUAUGGCUGAGACCGCCUGCCAACAACCAUCACUGACUUGCCAGGCAUGAGUGUGCCACCUUGGAAGCAGAUUUUCCAGCCCCAGUCAAGCCUUCAGAUGACAUCAGCCCCUGCUAAUCUCUUGACUACAACCUCAUGAGAGACCCUGAGCCAGAACUAGCCAGGUAACCCCUCAUGGUUACAAAGUGGCUGCAACAGCUCCAGGUGUUCUAUCCUUUAACACAGAAUAACUC
RNAcentral lists this long non-coding RNA (552 nucleotides) under Pongo abelii (Sumatran orangutan). RNAcentral's name for it is "lincRNA". Lineage: Eukaryota; Metazoa; Chordata; Mammalia; Primates; Hominidae. The record is from RNAcentral.